This 697-nucleotide ribosomal RNA is filed under the name uncultured Vibrionaceae bacterium. Its description in RNAcentral is "bacterial SSU rRNA". It matches the Rfam family "Bacterial small subunit ribosomal RNA", at positions 46 to 722 of the family's 1533-position model. Lineage: Bacteria; Pseudomonadati; Pseudomonadota; Gammaproteobacteria; Vibrionales; Vibrionaceae. The record is from RNAcentral.
GCUAACACAUGCAAGUCGACGCGGAAACGACACUAACAUUCCUUCGGGUGCGUUAAUGGGCGUCGAGCGGCGGACGGGUGAGUAAUGCCUAGGAAAUUGCCUUGAUGUGGGGGAUAACCAUUGGAAACGAUGGCUAAUACCGCAUAAUGCCUACGGGCCAAAGAGGGGGACCUUCGGGCCUCUCGCGUCAAGAUAUGCCUAGGUGGGAUUAGCUAGUUGGUGAGGUAAUGGCUCACCAAGGCGACGAUCCCUAGCUGGUCUGAGAGGAUGAUCAGCCACACUGGAACUGAGACACGGUCCAGACUCCUACGGGAGGUAGCAGUGGGGAAUAUUGCACAAUGGGCGAAAGCCUGAUGCAGCCAUGCCGCGUGUAUGAAGAAGGCCUUCGGGUUGUAAAGUACUUUCAGUUGUGAGGAAGGGGGUAACGUUAAUAGCGUUAUCUCUUGACGUUAGCAACAGAAGAAGCACCGGCUAACUCCGUGCCAGCAGCCGCGGUAAUACGGAGGGUGCGAGCGUUAAUCGGAAUUACUGGGCGUAAAGCGCAUGCAGGUGGUUCAUUAAGUCAGAUGUGAAAGCCCGGGGCUCAACCUCGGAACUGCAUUUGAAACUGGUGAACUAGAGUACUGUAGAGGGGGGUAGAAUUUCAGGUGUAGCGGUGAAAUGCGUACAGAUCUGAAGGAAUACCAGUGGCGAAGGC